GUUCAAGAUCACCCAAAUUGAGGUAAACGUCGAAGGUAUCAACGUCAACAAAAGCAAAUCUUAAUCGAACAUAACCUACAUGGAUAAAACUAUAAACCAUGGAAUACGCUCUGUACAUUGCAAUGGAAGCAUCGUGUGAUUUCCCUGAGAAAACAUGCAGCAAAUUGGGUGAUGGUGGUGCCUAGUUCUUCUGCAGAACUUUCCCAUGCCGAAGCAGAUGUUCUUCUAAGGGACACCCUAGAGACAGCAACUCCAAACAUUUAAAGGCACAGUUUCCCUCCCUAGUGUAAUUGGGAUGGACAGGGAAGACCGCAUUACAACCCUUAAAGAACUACGGUUGUAUGAUGGAGGGGGAAGACCACAUUACAACCCUUAAAGAACUACGGUUGUAUGAUGGAGGGGGAAGA
Salmo salar (Atlantic salmon) is the source of this 407-nucleotide non-coding RNA. The record is from RefSeq and is a predicted model, not a curated record. Lineage: Eukaryota; Metazoa; Chordata; Actinopteri; Salmoniformes; Salmonidae.